AGAGUUUGAUCAUGGCUCAGAGUAAACGUUGGCGGCGUGCCUAACACAUGCAAGUCGUACGAUCCUUAAGUGGCUUGCCAUUUAAGGAGAGUGGCGAACGGGUGAGUAACACGUGAGUAAUCUGCCCCUAAGUGAGGAAUAACUCCGCGAAAGCGGGGCUAAUACCGCAUGAAACUCUGAAGCAAACGCUUUCAGAGUCAAAGCCUUUCGAGGCGCUUGGGGAUGAGCUUGCGCCCUAUUAGCUAGUUGGUGGGGUAAUGGCCUACCAAGGUAAUGAUGGGUAGCCGGCCUGAGAGGGUGUACGGCCACACUGGAACUGCGACACGGUCCAGACUCCUACGGGAGGCAGCAGUGGGGAAUUUUGCGCAAUGGGCGAAAGCCUGACGCAGCGACGCCGCGUGGAGGAUUAAGGCCUUCGGGUUGUAAACUCCUGUCAGAGGUGAAGAAUGCUCCCUUAGGGGAGUUUGACGGUAACCUCAGAGGAAGCCCCGGCUAACUACGUGCCAGCAGCCGCGGUAAUACGUAGGGGGCGAACGUUGCUCGGAAUUACUGGGCGUAAAGGGUGUGUAGGUGGCUGAGCAAGUCGUUGAUGAAAUCCCGAGGCUCACCCUCGGAACUGUCUUCGAAACUGCUCAGCUUGAGGAUAGUUGAGGAGAACGGAAUUCCCGGUGGAGCGGUGAAAUGCGUAGAUAUCGGGAGGAACACCAGAGGCGAAGGCGGUUCUCUGGGCUAUUCCUGACACUGAAACACGAAAGCUAGGGGAGCAAACGGGAUUAGAUACCCCGGUAGUCCUAGCCGUAAACGAUGGGCACUAGAUGUUUCUACUUUGAUGUAGGGUGUCGAAGCUAACGCGUUAAGUGCCCCGCCUGGGGAGUACGGUCGCAAGGCUGAAACUCAAAUGAAUUGACGG
This 910-nucleotide ribosomal RNA is filed under the name uncultured bacterium. Its description in RNAcentral is "bacterial SSU rRNA". It matches the Rfam family "Bacterial small subunit ribosomal RNA", at positions 8 to 916 of the family's 1533-position model. The record is from RNAcentral.